UUUGUAAAGUCUUCUGCUAUUCC
Molecule: microRNA, 23 nt
Filed under: Drosophila mojavensis
Lineage: Eukaryota; Metazoa; Arthropoda; Insecta; Diptera; Drosophilidae
Description: Dmo-Novel-15_5p (mature (guide))
Source: RNAcentral